This 274-nucleotide unclassified non-coding RNA is filed under the name Hevea brasiliensis (rubber tree). The record is from RNAcentral. Lineage: Eukaryota; Viridiplantae; Streptophyta; Magnoliopsida; Malpighiales; Euphorbiaceae.
UUAACACCGAUGGUCUUGGCUUUGUGGGUUCUUUCCCUCUCCCCUGUAUCUAUUCUAUGUCUUAAGCAUGCUCAUAUUAGUGGUGACAAACGAAUUAAAUUGGACGAGUUCAGAUUAAUUUAGGUUACAGGUUUUUCGAGUCUUUUUUCUUGGAUGUGUCCAGACUAAUUUGAUUUUUGGGUCAAAAUUAGCUGCCUAGUUCUUAUUGCAUACUUUCUCAUGUGGGUUUCUUGUGUUCUGUGGAUUUCAGGCCUUCCCCAUAGGUUCUCCUCUG